This 26-nucleotide non-coding RNA is filed under the name Homo sapiens (human). Lineage: Eukaryota; Metazoa; Chordata; Mammalia; Primates; Hominidae. The record is from RNAcentral.
UGAGUCGAGGUGACUGGUACAAGACA